RNAcentral lists this small nuclear RNA (23 nucleotides) under Arabidopsis thaliana (thale cress). Its description in RNAcentral is "snRNA_09218". The record is from RNAcentral. Lineage: Eukaryota; Viridiplantae; Streptophyta; Magnoliopsida; Brassicales; Brassicaceae.
UCGGGAGAAAAUUCUCCAAAGAG